CAAGAAUCGAGGCUGACGGUGCCUACUCCCUAGGCUCCGUCCAGUCCCGCUCUCUACCUUGCCUUACUGCACCGUUUGUUGCUUCCUGGCGGCGUCCCGUCGCCAGGGCCUUUUGAAAGCCAAGUAUAAGCAUUGAAACUUCUGACAUACACUAAAUCGUA
This 161-nucleotide unclassified non-coding RNA is filed under the name soil metagenome. Its description in RNAcentral is "partial internal transcribed spacer 1". The record is from RNAcentral.